UGAUUUUACCUAGCACAAUGAUGUAUAAUGAAAAUAAAAAAAUAUUUCUCGCUAAUAGAUAAAUAGAGAGAGAAAAGUAUGAUCGAUCUCAAAACUUGUAAGAAAGGAAAACGACAAAACGCGAAAACUGCACCUACUAUAAGAAUUGGUUUUACAUUUCACUUGAGAAAUAAGUUCCAAAAAAUAAGAGAACAUUUGUCCGUCUUUUCUAGUGUAUUAUAAGCAUGAAAGUACUCAAAACUUUUUGUGGACCCAAUCUACAGCUUUAUCAGCAAUGACAUUUAAUUGUUUGUGAAUAUCAAGCUUCCAUGGUAAAGUAAGAAACUAGAGCAACCCAAAUUAUAGUUGGUUCGCUUAUAACUACGUAUAAAUAUCAAUUUAUAGGCCAGUCCAGGAUCUGAUUCAUAGUAAGAUCGGACAAUUUAAGAUUUUUUUUGUAAAUAAAUUAAUUUCAGUGCGGGUGAUUAAAAUAAAAACAGGAGACUAGAAGUCUAGAACUCUAGCGUUUUUGUUCCAAAAUGUGAGUAACACAAGCACAUGUGUUUCUAAAUAUGUGGCACUAAUCCGCUUAACUUGUCAUCCCAUAGAAUCGUAUCAGAUACAAGAACAUCCUUUCCUUUGACUCAUACUCUAUAUAUUUUAGUUGAAUAUUAUUUUUCAAAAAUAUAUAUAUUUAUAGUAAGUCUAUAAACGAGAAGUGCAGUGAUAAUCCGCAAUCCACUUAAUUAGUUAAAUCUUGAAUUCACCUUUGCAUUAUUCCAUUGGCAUAAGAUAAGACCUAUGACAUAACAGAAAUUAUCAUCGUGGAAAACUUAUCUGAAACGAAUUCAAAAAGUACAAGAUAAGAGCAAAUGUCGCACUACUCUUAUAGCUUGAUUGGCCAAAGCUUCUUUUAGGUUAAAAGUAUUUUUUUCUAAAGUUAAGGUGUUUGGCCAAAUUUUUAGAAGGAAAAAGAUUAUUUUUGAGUAGAAACAGAAACAAUUUUUGAAAAAAAUACUUUUAAAAAAAAUUCACUUAAAAGAACUUUCUAAAUACAUGACCAAACACUAAUGGUUGCUCAAAAGUAUUUUUAAAAUUAAUAAACCAAUCAUAAUUUAUUUGUCACCAAAAGUACUUUUUUGAAAAUCACUUAAAAAAAAGUAAUUUUAAAAAUAAGAUGAUAGUAGAAGCUUGGCCAAAAAGACUAUUAAUCCGUUACAAAAAGAAAAACAAAAUACAAAAAGAGAAGGAAAAUUACAAGUCAAAAAUAUUUUUCUCCAAAAAUUGUUCACCCUCUCAAAAGAAUUUGUCCUCAGCUCUUUCAACAUGUCCGAAGGAAAAUCUUUUGGUAGGUAUCUAGGAUUUCCCAUUUUCCUUAAAAGACCUAUAAAAAGAGAUUUUCAAUACCUUAUCGACAACUUCAAAUUAAGGCUUGCCGGUUGGAAGACCCACUGCCUUACUAUGGCAGGUAGAGCCACCCUUAUCAAAUGCACCCACAACUCUUUACCUAAUCAUAUCAUGCAAUAUAUCUCCAUCCAACAAAAUAUCAUCACACUGUUAGAUAGAUAUAAAAAAUAUUUCCUUUGGGGAUCCACCUCCUACAAGCAUAUACUACAUACGACUAAAUGGGAUAUUGUUACAUUACCUAAACCCCAAGGAGGUCUUGGAAUACAAAACCUCUCCAUAAAAAAUAAAGCCUUCCUAGCUAUUCUAGCAUGGAGAUUUUUUAAACACCCGUCAUCCUUUUGGGCAUCUAUACUACUCACAACGUAUAUUACCUAUAAAAACACCUCAUUCAUUUAGAAAAACAUUCAACAAGGAUGACACCAUUGUCAAUUAGGAUCUAAAUGGGUAGUUUCAUCGGGCAACCAUAUCAAAUUCUGGACUGAUAAUUGGCUUGAUCACCAAACCACCCUUAGAUCCUUAAUUGAAGGCCCCUACCGCUCCUAGAAUACUAGCGGCCGAUUAGCUACUACAUACGCAAUAAUAAUUGGGAUCUAACUAACCUUCUAUUUCAUCUUCCCCGGGCUAUACUCCUUAAAAUACUUAGUAUUUAUUUAUCCCAAUACCCCAAUCAUCAUGAUACUCUUAUAUGGAACCUCAGACCUUCAGGACAAUUUACUGUCCAAUCAUGUUAUCACGCACUAACACCAAAUGUCCAUUGUAAAAGCCAUACUUGGAUUUGGAAUCUACCCACACCUCCUAAAAUCAGAUACUUUCUUUGGCUAUGUAGCCACCAUAGGCUUCCCACAAAUGCCUACUAAGCUCGCCUUAAUAUUAUCAACAACCUUUGUUCUUACUGUUCCACGGGCGCAGAGACUAUACGUCAUCUACUCUUCGAGUGCACUGCCUCCAGGCCCUUAUGGGCUCACCUAGGACUUCUUCAUCAUAUAAACUCCCUUCAACAUCGAAGCAUUUCACUGAUUGAGCAAAUCAAGUUUUUGAUCAUGCAAUAUACUCACCAUACCCCCUACAAUAUUCCUCCAUCCACCUUAAUUCCAUAUUGUCUAUGGGGUAUUUGGAUCCAACGCAACCAUAAUAUAUUUCACCAACACUCUACCCCUUCUCCCUAUCUACACAUUCUUAAAAAAGCUGCAGAAUUCCACUUCCUCACAUCGCAACCACACAAGAACAAAACCCUAACUCUUCUAUACAUCAAAUGAAAACCACACAACCACAACCACUACAAAUUAAACAUUGAUGGAGCAGCUAAGUCUCCAAGGUUAAAUGGAUUAGGAGGGGUCAUACGCUCAUCUGGAGGGGACUGACUUUUGGGAUUUUCUAAACAUAUCGAGUUUGGUAAUAGCAUACAAACAGAGCUAAUUGGUUUGCUUCAUGGCUUGCGCUUGUCCUUACAGCAUGGUUACUUCCCAUUGGAGAUUAAUAUAGAUGCCAAUGAGGUAAUCACUUUAAUCCAUUCCAACAAUCCUCACUAUACUAAGUUGAUCACUGAUUGCAGGUUGCUGCUCAAGCAACUGGGUGACCCUCUUCUUCAGCAUAUAUACAAGGAGGCAAAUAUGGUAGCUGAUGGAUUAGCUAACUAUGAUAUACGCUUAUCAUGCAGCAACAACUUACAACUUUUGAUACACCACCACCUUUUGUCCACCUACACUUCCAUUAAGACAAAGAAGGGGCAGUGAGAAGGAGAUUUGUCAACUCUUGCGUUUUGUUACCCACCAUAUCCCCCCAAAUGUAAAUUCAUGCACAACUAUGAUCUUCGCUCCCCCCCUCCCUCUGGCUAGUUUUUGUGAUGAUCCUUCCAAGGAUCCUAGUAGUGAAGUAGCUAGUAGUUUUCUUACUGAUCCGUCUGUGGACCAUAGGCCAAUAGUAAUUACUCAUGUACCAUCAGCCCCCACAAGUGCCAUGAGCACCUUGCCCUCUGUAUCUUUUAUGACGUGGUAAUGAAGUUAGUAAUUUUUUAUGACCCAAAAAAAAACGAAGAACAUUGCUAGAAAUGUGUUAUAUUCCGGCAACUUUUUGGGACCGGGUUGCUAAAAGGCCGAAAGCACACUCGUGGAGCCCAGAAAGUGCUCUUUCCCAUGAGAGAGUUCCCUAGGACAGAUACUGUGUACGGCAAUUUUGAGACAAUACAGAUACCGCAAUGCCUCAUUUCCCUUAUUUCUGUAUCUACAUUGUUCAGCUAUUCAUUUUUAUCAUUGAGCUAGUUUUUAAUUUGUAUUCCUCCUGGUCUACAAUGAGUGACUAAUUUUCUUUGGGCACACCUAUUAAGAAAAUACUAAAUUCUAGACGAAAAUAAUUAGUGUAACUAAAUUACCCUUCAUUAAGUGUUGCACCAUAGUCAUAAUAUCACUUACUUCUCUUUUAAAAUGUGAGGAGUAAAUGACUUUUUAGAGAUGCGUAUAUAAGGGUAAGUUUGGAAAAAUAAAUUGAUUUUUUUCGUGAUUAUAUAAAUGGAUACUUAUUUUGAACUAAAAUAAAAAAACAAAUUGAUCACUUAUUGUGGACCGGAGGAAGUAAUUGUUAAUUGUUGAAAUUGAAAAUCUUUAUUCUUAAUAGAAUUCACUCCUUCUAAAUCAAAUUACAUGAACUAAGAUUGAAAAAGGAGAAGAAAAGUGAUGGUCAAAGAUUCACAAUGGGAGGAAAGAGAAGUGCGUACGUUUUUAAUUUGUCGAGAGCUCUCUGGAUAUUUUUCCAUUGAUUCUCCUCAUGCCUAAGGAAAACCUUUAUUCUGGAUUGAGUUUGUGCUGGCCAUAUAGUGACCUUUUGGAACUUUUUCAUUUUUUUAAUGCGGUCCCAUAAGAAUCCAUGAGAAGAUAUUUUACUUAUCCCAAUUCUCCUUCCAAGAGCGUGGCCUAAAUUCCUUCACUUAUCAUGUCAUCUCUGUUUGAUAUGCAACAAGCAACAUUUGGUCGGCAGAUAUCAGCGAAAGAAUGGCGUUUGAGAGAUGACCAAUAACUAGCAGAGUCACCACAGAGGCUUCUCUGAGUUUUUAUAUAGUUAAUAUACAUUAAUUUCCUUCUCUCCAGCUAAUUGUAUUUAAAAUUCUGGGUUGAAAUAUCAGGAAUAAUGCUCACACAUACUGUAUUUUACUAUAUAGAUGAGAAUUGUUUUACAGCCUCAUGUUAACAUGUUACACAUCCUCAAAGGGCUCAAGAAGAAGAAGUGUUGAGUCUGUCACAAGUUCCAACAACUUGAGUCAAAGAAACGAGAGAGGAAACAUAUGCCCAUCAGUUUCUCUGAUGACAGUACAAAUCAACUCUCUACGGCUAUAAAGUCGCUGCACUGUUUUCUGCACACGCAACAGUGCAGUUGUCACUUCCUUCAGCAUGCUUUGUACCGGAUAAAUGCAUACGUCAUUCUGAUGACAUCACUUGUAUAUUACCAACAUAAGGCAAGGGAAAUCUCCACACUUGCAUUACCUUAAACAAUCAAUUCUCUCUCAGGUGAGCUGAAAAACAUCAUGUCAUUGAAGAACAAAGCAACAACUGAACCAAGGACCAGAUCACAGUAUCAAGUCUAUCAUAUGUCCUUAGUAUUGUUAUGUCUUUGUUAGUAUCAUUUAUUUGUAACUCCUACCCAGCUUACUUAGAAGCAUUUCUAUAGGAAAUCUUUUGUAAAAUCAUAAACCCCGUGUUUGUGUUUUGGCUAGAGUCAGUCAAAGUGUGUGCUUUGCAAUAGAGUUAUUAUAAAGAUACUUGUAAUUGAGUUAUUACAAGUAGGUGAAGGAUUAAGAGGUUCAUUCCUAGAUUACAAUAAGUUGUGAUCUGAAAGUUGCUCAGUUAGUGAAGUUGAAAUCCUACGAGGGUAGGUCAUGGUUUUUAAUCCCGUCAGCUGGGAUUUUUCUAUGUAAAACUCUG
This 5297-nucleotide long non-coding RNA is filed under the name Nicotiana tabacum (common tobacco). Its description in RNAcentral is "long non-coding RNA (NTAB_LNC016164)". The record is from RNAcentral. Lineage: Eukaryota; Viridiplantae; Streptophyta; Magnoliopsida; Solanales; Solanaceae.